UACGUAGGGUGCGAGCGUUGUUCGGAAUCAUUGGGCGUAAAGCGCGUGUAGGCGGGUUGUUAAGUCUGGUGUGAAAGCCCGGGGCCUAACCCCGGAAGUGCACUGGAUACUGGCAAACUAGAGGGUGAGAGAGGAAAGUGGAAUUCCUGGUGUAGGGGUGAAAUCCGUAGAGAUCAGGAGGAACAUCGGUUGCGAAGGCGGCUUUCUGGCUCAUUGCUGACGCUGAGACGCGAAAGAGUGGGGAGCAAACAGG
This 253-nucleotide ribosomal RNA is filed under the name uncultured bacterium. RNAcentral's name for it is "partial 16S ribosomal RNA". It matches the Rfam family "Bacterial small subunit ribosomal RNA", at positions 524 to 776 of the family's 1533-position model. The record is from RNAcentral.